GAUUCACAAGCUGCUUCAUGAACGGAAUAUUCACAGUGUCCUUUUUUGAUUGUUUGUUUUGAAAACAUAGUGGUUAUUUACCGCGACUGAUGCUGGCCGGUAGUUGAUAGCCAGGAUACUAACAAUUCACAAAAACAUUAUUUGUAAAACCUUUUAAAAACCAAUGGAUCAUCUUAGCACAAAGCCAUGAACAAAGAAAGGUCAAAACCAAAUCUAUAUACG
Molecule: long non-coding RNA, 222 nt
Filed under: Elaeis guineensis (African oil palm)
Lineage: Eukaryota; Viridiplantae; Streptophyta; Magnoliopsida; Arecales; Arecaceae
Description: long non-coding RNA (EGUI_LNC024503)
Source: RNAcentral